ACCCAGGUGUGUCUAACAGAUGUUCAGGAUCUCUAAUUUGCUAACUGGAGGAAAAUAAUUCCGCGUGAAUAGUUAUUUUCAUAGUUUGAGGGUGAUUUAACUGUAAGUUAAUAUAUGUGUUAAAAUAUUCUCCUAAUAUAUACCAUUUUCAGCCCUGAAUCAGCGACAAAAUCGACUCAUCAGAGGCUCAUUUUGGCGAGGUUCUGCUGAAGGAAAAAACUGAAACAAAGGCAACGAUCACAGUUAUGCUUUUUAGAAGACAUUAAUCAAUUAUUGACGGUCUCUUUUUUUUUUUUUUUUAAGCUUAAUGGACUGAGGAUUUGGUUUCAACUGAGUCUCUAUGUCCAUUAUCUGAAAAUAGGAAGAAUGUGGCACAACUGCAAACCCUCCAAGGCAUGGCUGUCAACCUCAUCUGGCAAGGAGAGCAUGAAUCAGUGAAGCAGCCAAUGAGACCGUUAUGACCUUGGAGGAGCUGCAGAGGCUCCCAGCUCAGGUGGGAGACUGUCUCAAUGGUACAGCUAAGAACAGUCACUGCUGGAUUGGAAGCUUGAGCUCAUUAAGAUGGAAAGAUGGGAACCUACAUCUGGCCAACCUGUUAAGCUGUGACACCUUCCUGGAGAGGAGCAUCGGUUGAGCUAUUGCUGCUGUUAUGUUCUCUUUCUGUAGACCGUACACUUGGUCCUGACUUUCUGGGUUUAACUUUAAUACAAAAAGCAAUAUAAUGAGCUAUUGCUGUGACUGUGUGUACUGUUGUUCAUGCCAUACACUUUAAAACUGGCUCAAAGCCGAUCUCUUUAGCUGUUUCUCUCUCUCCUAGACGAAGCCGAUAAAGAAGCUACAUCUGCUAUUAACUCUCUGCUUCCUCAUUAACAUAGAAAAAAUCUCUGGAAUAGUGCAUCUGUUUCUUUAUAUGCUCAGCCAUAUUCUGCUGGAGGUCUCUUCCUGUAAAGUGGUCUGCUUCGACUGUCACUCCAUGCAUGCUCAGUAGGAGUGAUUGCUGCAAGUUAAUGAUUUGAUGCAUUCCGUUGUCCACAGUCGCAACAUUCUCGUCCAGGAGGAGCGCUGUUUGAAAGUCAGUGAUUCAACACAAUGGGCUGAGUUUCCUUCGAUCAAAAAGUGCUUUACCAAUACAAUAUUAAACUGAACUUGACAGUAUUGUUUAUUUAGGAUCAAUUUGGAAUGUAUUAAAUUGAUUGUGAAUCUGUCUGUAUGAUUGGACUGAACUUUGUACUUAUGUAUGUAAAUUUGAUGGGUUUUUUUUUAUGAACAAUGCAUUGAGAUAUUUAUUGUGAAUCAGCACUAGCUAUAUGAACUGAAUUAAAGUUGGUUUUUCCGUUUUUCAUUUUUCGCUUCAUAGAAGUUACUUCUGGCCAGUGACCCCUUUUUGGACAGGUCUACAGGCUGCCAGAUGAAAGAUGUUUUUUUAUUUCUAGGUUUACCAUAUUUUUGUUACAUUAAAAAUUGCCAAAAGUAUGAAGUUAUUGGUAAUUGUUGAGUUAUUGUUAAUUAUUUUAUUAUCGGUUACAACACAAAGCCUACCUACAAUACAAAGUGAAGUGAGCAAAAGUAUUACAACAGUCAGGUUUUCAGUUACUAAACAUAAAUUAACUUAACUUCCAGGGACCAUUUUCUGGGAAAUGGUUGACAUGGCGGUUAUUCAUUGAUUUCUAUGUUUAUAACCCUUAUUUUUAAAUUGACAAAUGUAGUAAAAUGUUUUUUAUUUUGGGGAGCUUGGAACUGAUCAUUAUUGAGACAUAUUUCCUAGGAAAACCACAAUAAAAUGGCCGUUCUAGCCAUAGAUCCUACGGAAAAAAAUAAAUAUUAAA
Girardinichthys multiradiatus is the source of this 1826-nucleotide long non-coding RNA. RefSeq lists it as uncharacterized. The transcript is spliced from 4 exons. NCBI's taxonomy places the organism in Eukaryota, Metazoa, Chordata, Actinopteri, Cyprinodontiformes, Goodeidae. The record is from RefSeq and is a predicted model, not a curated record.